AGGUGGGUACAGUGACCUGGAAAACAUCGAUUGUUCAGCCAAACGGCAAAACAAAAGCAGGGAGCAUAUAAAUGCCCACAUCAGAUUCAAGCUUCUGGGAAAAAGUUGCAUCGAUUAUGAUGAAGUUCUGCGUAUUCAAACUGCACAACACAACGAUAAAGUAAGAAGAAACAGGGAUGUUAUCAAACUGCUUAUUAACACCACUGCGUUUUGGGGUGUGUAAUAAUUUGCUUUUAGAGGACACGACGAGAGGGAAAGCUCUGCCAACAAAGGCAACUACAAGGAGUUUGAAGAGUCAAAUCCUGUCCUACACUGGUCAAGCACCUCAACUCAUGCCUCAUACCCUCAUUCAAUCACUGCUGCGAUCCCUUUCCAACACUGUGACAAUGACCCAACACACCUCCAGGCUGUGUAAGGGCUAUUUGAC
This is a long non-coding RNA of Oncorhynchus gorbuscha (pink salmon), 427 nucleotides long. RefSeq lists it as uncharacterized. The transcript has 3 exons. NCBI's taxonomy places the organism in Eukaryota, Metazoa, Chordata, Actinopteri, Salmoniformes, Salmonidae. The record is from RefSeq and is a predicted model, not a curated record.